GGGAGGAGCUUGCGUCACAUUAGUUAGUUGGGGGGGUAAAGGCCUACCAAGACUAUGAUGUGUAGCCGGGCUGAGAGGUUGAACGGCCACAUUGGGACUGAGACACGGCCCAAACUCCUACGGGAGGCAGCAGUAGGGAAUUUUCGGCAAUGGAGGAAACUCUGACCGAGCAACGCCGCGUGAACGAUGAAGUAUUUCGGUACGUAAAGUUCUUUUAUUAGGGAAGAAUAAAUGAUGGAAAAAUCAUUCUGACGGUACCUAAUGAAUAAGCCCCGGCUAACUAUGUGCCAGCAGCCGCGGUAAUACAUAGGGGGCAAGCGUUAUCCGGAAUUAUUGGGCGUAAAGGGUGCGUAGGCGGUUAAAUAAGUUUAUGGUCUAAGUGCAAUGCUCAACAUUGUGAUGCUAUAAAAACUGUUUAGCUAGAGUAAGAUAGAGGCAAGUGGAAUUCCAUGUGUAGUGGUAAAAUGCGUAAAUAUAUGGAGGAACACCAGUAGCGAAGGCGGUUUGCUGGGUCUUUACUGACGCUGAGGCACGAAAGCGUGGGGAGCAAACAGGAUUAGAUACCCUGGUAGUCCACGCCGUAAACGAUGAGUACUAAACGUUGGGUAAAACCAGUGUUGAAGUUAACACAUUAAGUACUCCGCCUGAGUAGUACGUACGCAAGUAUGAAACUUAAAGGAAUUGACGGGACUCCGCACAAGCGGUGGAUCAUGUUGUUUAAUUCGAAGGUACCCGAAAAACCUCACCAGGUCUUGACAUGCUUUUGCAAAGCUGUAGAAACCCAGUGGAGGUUAUCAGUUGCACAGGUGGUGCAUGGUUGUCGUCAGCUCGUGUCGUCAGAUGUUGGGUUAAGUCCCGCAACGAGCGCAACCCUUAUUGUUAGUUGCCAGCACGUAAUGGUGGGGUCUUUAGCAAGACUGCCAGUGAUAAAUUGGAGGAAGGUGGGGACGACGUCAAAUCAUCAUGCCCCUUAUGACCUG
RNAcentral lists this ribosomal RNA (980 nucleotides) under 'Macrosteles sordidipennis' phytoplasma. Its description in RNAcentral is "bacterial SSU rRNA". It matches the Rfam family "Bacterial small subunit ribosomal RNA", at positions 222 to 1211 of the family's 1533-position model. The record is from RNAcentral. Lineage: Bacteria; Bacillati; Mycoplasmatota; Mollicutes; Acholeplasmatales; Acholeplasmataceae.